AUUUAUAAAUAUGAAUAUAUCUGACUAGUUUUGCUGUUUCAUUACAUUAAAUAGUUUGAAAAUACCUCUAUUACAUAUCUAUCAUAGAGCAAUAUGAGCACCUGAGUGAAACACCUAAGGAAUAUAGAAGCCCAGAUACUCAUCAACUUUGAACCUGACAUCAGUUUUUAUAUGAAGUACGUAAAUGAUAUAUUAACAGUAUGGCAAUGGCCUACUGUUAAUAUAUCAUUUAGAAUAAUGUGAAUAUCAUGCUAAAUUCAUCAUAUAGAUGAAUUUAGCAUGGCAUUCACAUUACCAACAUAUGGGCUCAUUCUUAAAAGAGACCAUGUAAGCAAUCAUAGUUUUCAUUACCUGGACAUUAUAUUGAAGAUAGAUGACCUAGGAUUAAAAACGGCCAUAUACAGGAAGCCAACAUAUCAGUUCAUCUUAAUACCAGAUGAUUUCCAGACCCAAUAUCGUAUAAAAAUGCUGCAUUUAAGUCUAUUCUGAAGAGCACUACUUUAUUCCACUGAUCGACAAGACCGAGAUGAAGAAUUUAAGUAUAUAUAUGAAGCCAGCUAUCAACAUGGAUAUAAAACAUGAUUCCUAAAAACAUCCACUAUGAAGUCCAAGGGGCACUGAUCUAAACAUGGACCACACAUUG
RNAcentral lists this long non-coding RNA (643 nucleotides) under Androctonus crassicauda. Lineage: Eukaryota; Metazoa; Arthropoda; Arachnida; Scorpiones; Buthidae. The record is from RNAcentral.